This 557-nucleotide ribosomal RNA is filed under the name uncultured Rhizobium sp. RNAcentral's name for it is "bacterial SSU rRNA". It matches the Rfam family "Bacterial small subunit ribosomal RNA", at positions 102 to 694 of the family's 1533-position model. The record is from RNAcentral. Lineage: Bacteria; Pseudomonadati; Pseudomonadota; Alphaproteobacteria; Hyphomicrobiales; Rhizobiaceae.
ACGGGUGAGUAACGCGUGGGAAUCUACCGUGCCCUGCGGAAUAGCUCCGGGAAACUGGAAUUGAUACCGCAUACGCCCUACGGGGGAAAGAUUUAUCGGGGUAUGAUGAGCCCGCGUUGGAUUAGCUAGUUGGUGGGGUAAAGGCCUACCAAGGCGACGAUCCAUAGCUGGUCUGAGAGGAUGAUCAGCCACAUUGGGACUGAGACACGGCCCAAACUCCUACGGGAGGCAGCAGUGGGGAAUAUUGGACAAUGGGCGCAAGCCUGAUCCAGCCAUGCCGCGUGAGUGAUGAAGGCCUUAGGGUUGUAAAGCUCUUUCACCGGAGAAGAUAAUGACGGUAUCCGGAGAAGAAGCCCCGGCUAACUUCGUGCCAGCAGCCGCGGUAAUACGAAGGGGGCUAGCGUUGUUCGGAAUUACUGGGCGUAAAGCGCACGUAGGCGGAUAUUUAAGUCAGGGGUGAAAUCCCAGAGCUCAACUCUGGAACUGCCUUUGAUACUGGGUAUCUUGAGUAUGGAAGAGGUAAGUGGAAUUCCGAGUGUAGAGGUGAAAUUCGUAGA